UUAAGCGACUAAGCGUACACGGUGGAUGCCCUGGCAGUCAGAGGCGAUGAAGGACGUGCUAAUCUGCGAUAAGCGUCGGUAAGGUGAUAUGAACCGUUAUAACCGGCGAUUUCCGAAUGGGGAAACCCAGUGUGAUUCGUCACACUAUCAUUAACUGAAUCCAUAGGUUAAUGAGGCGAACCGGGGGAACUGAAACAUCUAAGUACCCCGAGGAAAAGAAAUCAACCGAGAUUCCCCCAGUAGCGGCGAGCGAACGGGGAGGAGCCCAGAGCCUGAAUCAGUGUGUGUGUUAGUGGAAGCGUCUGGAAAGGCGCGCGAUACAGGGUGACAGCCCCGUACACAAAAAUGCACAUAUUGUGAGCUCGAUGAGUAGGGCGGGACACGUGGUAUCCUGUCUGAAUAUGGGGGGACCAUCCUCCAAGGCUAAAUACUCCUGACUGACCGAUAGUGAACCAGUACCGUGAGGGAAAGGCGAAAAGAACCCCGGCGAGGGGAGUGAAAAAGAACCUGAAACCGUGUACGUACAAGCAGUGGGAGCACGCUUAGGCGUGUGACUGCGUACCUUUUGUAUAAUGGGUCAGCGACUUAUAUUCUGUAGCAAGGUUAACCGAAUAGGGGAGCCGAAGGGAAACCGAGUCUUAACUGGGCGUUAAGUUGCAGGGUAUAGACCCGAAACCCGGUGAUCUAGCCAUGGGCAGGUUGAAGGUUGGGUAACACUAACUGGAGGACCGAACCGACUAAUGUUGAAAAAUUAGCGGAUGACUUGUGGCUGGGGGUGAAAGGCCAAUCAAACCGGGAGAUAGCUGGUUCUCCCCGAAAGCUAUUUAGGUAGCGCCUCGUGAAUUCAUCUCCGGGGGUAGAGCACUGUUUCGGCAAGGGGGUCAUCCCGACUUACCAACCCGAUGCAAACUGCGAAUACCGGAGAAUGUUAUCACGGGAGACACACGGCGGGUGCUAACGUCCGUCGUGAAGAGGGAAACAACCCAGACCGCCAGCUAAGGUCCCAAAGUCAUGGUUAAGUGGGAAACGAUGUGGGAAGGCCCAGACAGCCAGGAUGUUGGCUUAGAAGCAGCCAUCAUUUAAAGAAAGCGUAAUAGCUCACUGGUCGAGUCGGCCUGCGCGGAAGAUGUAACGGGGCUAAACCAUGCACCGAAGCUGCGGCAGCGACGCUUAUGCGUUGUUGGGUAGGGGAGCGUUCUGUAAGCCUGUGAAGGUGUGCUGUGAGGCAUGCUGGAGGUAUCAGAAGUGCGAAUGCUGACAUAAGUAACGAUAAAGCGGGUGAAAAGCCCGCUCGCCGGAAGACCAAGGGUUCCUGUCCAACGUUAAUCGGGGCAGGGUGAGUCGACCCCUAAGGCGAGGCCGAAAGGCGUAGUCGAUGGGAAACAGGUUAAUAUUCCUGUACUUGGUGUUACUGCGAAGGGGGGACGGAGAAGGCUAUGUUGGCCGGGCGACGGUUGUCCCGGUUUAAGCGUGUAGGCUGGUUUUCCAGGCAAAUCCGGAAAAUCAAGGCUGAGGCGUGAUGACGAGGCACUACGGUGCUGAAGCAACAAAUGCCCUGCUUCCAGGAAAAGCCUCUAAGCAUCAGGUAACAUCAAAUCGUACCCCAAACCGACACAGGUGGUCAGGUAGAGAAUACCAAGGCGCUUGAGAGAACUCGGGUGAAGGAACUAGGCAAAAUGGUGCCGUAACUUCGGGAGAAGGCACGCUGAUAUGUAGGUGAAGUCCCUCGCGGAUGGAGCUGAAAUCAGUCGAAGAUACCAGCUGGCUGCAACUGUUUAUUAAAAACACAGCACUGUGCAAACACGAAAGUGGACGUAUACGGUGUGACGCCUGCCCGGUGCCGGAAGGUUAAUUGAUGGGGUCAGCGCAAGCGAAGCUCUUGAUCGAAGCCCCGGUAAACGGCGGCCGUAACUAUAACGGUCCUAAGGUAGCGAAAUUCCUUGUCGGGUAAGUUCCGACCUGCACGAAUGGCGUAAUGAUGGCCAGGCUGUCUCCACCCGAGACUCAGUGAAAUUGAACUCGCUGUGAAGAUGCAGUGUACCCGCGGCAAGACGGAAAGACCCCGUGAACCUUUACUAUAGCUUGACACUGAACAUUGAGCCUUGAUGUGUAGGAUAGGUGGGAGGCUUUGAAGUGUGGACGCCAGUCUGCAUGGAGCCGACCUUGAAAUACCACCCUUUAAUGUUUGAUGUUCUAACGUUGACCCGUAAUCCGGGUUGCGGACAGUGUCUGGUGGGUAGUUUGACUGGGGCGGUCUCCUCCUAAAGAGUAACGGAGGAGCACGAAGGUUGGCUAAUCCUGGUCGGACAUCAGGAGGUUAGUGCAAUGGCAUAAGCCAGCUUGACUGCGAGCGUGACGGCGCGAGCAGGUGCGAAAGCAGGUCAUAGUGAUCCGGUGGUUCUGAAUGGAAGGGCCAUCGCUCAACGGAUAAAAGGUACUCCGGGGAUAACAGGCUGAUACCGCCCAAGAGUUCAUAUCGACGGCGGUGUUUGGCACCUCGAUGUCGGCUCAUCACAUCCUGGGGCUGAAGUAGGUCCCAAGGGUAUGGCUGUUCGCCAUUUAAAGUGGUACGCGAGCUGGGUUUAGAACGUCGUGAGACAGUUCGGUCCCUAUCUGCCGUGGGCGCUGGAGAACUGAGGGGGGCUGCUCCUAGUACGAGAGGACCGGAGUGGACGCAUCACUGGUGUUCGGGUUGUCAUGCCAAUGGCACUGCCCGGUAGCUAAAUGCGGAAGAGAUAAGUGCUGAAAGCAUCUAAGCACGAAACUUGCCCCGAGAUGAGUUCUCCCUGACCCUUUAAGGGUCCUGAAGGAACGUUGAAGACGACGACGUUGAUAGGCCGGGUGUGUAAGCGCAGCGAUGCGUUGAGCUAACCGGUACUAAUGAACCGUGAGGCUUAACCUU
This 2902-nucleotide ribosomal RNA is filed under the name Escherichia coli UMEA 3199-1. RNAcentral's name for it is "bacterial LSU rRNA". It matches the Rfam family "Bacterial large subunit ribosomal RNA". The record is from RNAcentral. Lineage: Bacteria; Pseudomonadati; Pseudomonadota; Gammaproteobacteria; Enterobacterales; Enterobacteriaceae.